UACGUAGGUGGCAAGCGUUAUCCGGAAUUAUUGGGCGUAAAGCGUACGUAGGCGGCUUUGUAAGUCUGACGUGAAAGCCCACGGCUCAACCGUGGAGAGGCAUUGGAAACUGCAAAGCUUGAGUAUGGUAGAGGUAAGUGGAAUUCCAAGUGUAGCGGUGAAAUGCGUAGAGAUUUGGAAGAACACCAGUGGCGAAGGCGGGUGACUGGGCCAUUACUGACGCUGAGGUACGAAAGCGUGGGGAGCGAACAGG
Molecule: ribosomal RNA, 253 nt
Filed under: uncultured bacterium
Lineage: Bacteria
Description: partial 16S ribosomal RNA
Rfam family: Bacterial small subunit ribosomal RNA
Source: RNAcentral